ACGCUCGACACCUACGGGAGGCGGCAGUGGGGAAUAUUGCACAAUGGGGGAAACCCUGAUGCAGCGACGCCGCGUGAGUGAAGAAGUAAUUCGUUAUGUAAAGCUCUAUCAGCAGGGAAGAAAGUGACGGUACCUGAGUAAGAAGCCCCGGCUAACUACGCGCCAGCAGCCGCGGUAAUCUGAGCGGGCUGGCAAGGC
Molecule: ribosomal RNA, 198 nt
Filed under: uncultured bacterium
Lineage: Bacteria
Description: partial 16S ribosomal RNA
Rfam family: Bacterial small subunit ribosomal RNA
Source: RNAcentral